Daphnia magna is the source of this 1240-nucleotide long non-coding RNA. RefSeq lists it as uncharacterized. The record is from RefSeq and is a predicted model, not a curated record. The transcript is spliced from 2 exons. NCBI's taxonomy places the organism in Eukaryota, Metazoa, Arthropoda, Branchiopoda, Diplostraca, Daphniidae.
CUCUGCAACAGAGUGUCGACGGUCUUUCAUACCUAAAACUCGUUUGGAACUUGAGGACCUCCUUGAAGAUGGAAUGCUAAACGACUGACAGGAAGGACCUUAGCACCUUCCCUCUGCAAGAACAACCCACUGCGGCGUCAUCACGAAUUCCACACAUCAUUUGUAAUAAAUAUUGGCAAGUACAUAAAAUAAUUCCAAAUAAAUCAUUAUGUCCUUAAAGCGAGGUUUCAAUUUCAGGUUCACACGUAUAGCAGUAGAAAUGUUAUUUCGGUGACCAUAAGACAUCUUUCUCUAUUUCCAUUUCAGGACUCUUGAACUUGAAGCUACUCGCUAGAAGAAUCAAUCGUUUCUACAAACGCAUUCACGCAACAACAUUUGAAUGAAUGUUAGCGGUAUGGUUUGAGCGUAAACCCCAACAAGCAUUAAUGUUAGACCAAUGCAAAACAAUCACGAAAAGAAAAAAGGCUAACCCGAAAACCAAAAUAAAGAGUGUGUUACUAUCGAUCUUUCUGUAAGGAGUACCGGUUGGUAGAAACCACCAACUAAAAGCUUUUACAAGGAUCAAAGAUAGAGUUAUAACCAAAAGUAAAAGAGCACAAAGUUGGGUGACAUUCUGAGCAUCUUCAGCCGCAAUUGAGCAAAGAUCUCCUCGAUUUCCGUUGCUGCUCUCGUCCAUUUUACUUUUCUUGCCACAGGUAUUUUGCUGGACAAUUAAUGGACUAUCUCCUAAAUCGUUAAUGUACAACUAUAAUUUUCCGCAUCCGUAUAAGAUGGUACGAUGUUUAAUACUAACCUUACUUUUCGUUUAGUGAAGUGGGGCAGUUGAGGCUAUUUAUUCAGUGGUACUCUUCGGUUACUUUGUCUGGUGUAAAGACCGUCUUCUUCCGGACUGUUGUGCAACACGAUGCGUUACUGAGUUUUAUAUAUGCUCCGGAUCUAAAUGUAUGUAGCACCCAAGCCAGCUACACCUGCGCCUUUUACUAAAAGCAAAAAUCUCUUUGCCAACGGCUGCUCUGCAUCAACAGAUUAAUGUGAUUUUCAACAUUUGGUUCCUUUUCUGAUUCCGAUGAGCUGUCAGCCCCCUUAUAUGCAUUCCUUUUCCCAUCUUCCAAAUCCAUCCAAGCUUCCAGUAAUUAUGCAGUUUAUAUAAUAAGCUUCAGUGUGAAUGCCUGGGCGCACGAACAACUACAUCCAUUUGUUUGAAACUUGACAAUUAAGAGAUAAAAACCCGUUCUCUCAA